Molecule: transfer RNA, 73 nt
Filed under: Salmo salar (Atlantic salmon)
Lineage: Eukaryota; Metazoa; Chordata; Actinopteri; Salmoniformes; Salmonidae
Rfam family: tRNA
About the family: Transfer RNA (tRNA) molecules are approximately 80 nucleotides in length.
Source: Rfam by way of RNAcentral
GGGCCAGUGGCGAUAUGGAUAACGUGUCUGACUACGGAUCAGAAGAUUCUAUGUUCGACUCCUGGCUGGCUUG